UACGUAGGUCCCGAGCGUUGUCCGGAUUUAUUGGGCGUAAAGCGAGCGCAGGUGGUUUAUUAAGUCUGGUGUAAAAGGCAGUGGCUCAACCAUUGUAUGCAUUGGAAACUGGUAGACUUGAGUGCAGGAGAGGAGAGUGGAAUUCCAUGUGUAGCGGCGAGAUGCGUAGAUAUAUGGAGGAACACCGGUGGCGAAAGCGGCUCUCUGGCCUGUAACUGACACUGAGGCUCGAAAGCGUGGGGAGCAAACAGG
Molecule: ribosomal RNA, 252 nt
Filed under: uncultured bacterium
Lineage: Bacteria
Description: partial 16S ribosomal RNA
Rfam family: Bacterial small subunit ribosomal RNA
Source: RNAcentral